UGGGGAAUAUUGGACAAUGGGGGAAACCCUGAUCCAGCAAUGCCGCGUGUGUGAAGAAGGCCUUAGGGUUGUAAAACACUUUCACAGGUGACGAUGAUGACGGUAGCCUGAGAAGAAGCCCCGGCUAACUCCGUGCCAGCAGCCGCGGUAAUACGGAGGGGGCGAGCGUUGUUCGGAAUUACUGGGCGUAAAGGGCGUGUAGGCGGUUUGUUAAGUUAGGCGUGAAAGCCCCGGGCUCAACCUGGGAACUGCGCUUAAUACUGGCAGACUUGAGACCGGGAGAGGGUAGUGGAAUUUCCAGUGUAGAGGUGAAAUUCGUAGAUAUUGGAAAGAACACCAGUGGCGAAGGCGGCUACCUGGCCCGGAUCUGACGCUGAGGCGCGAAAGCGUGGGGAGCAAACAGG
This 404-nucleotide ribosomal RNA is filed under the name uncultured bacterium. Its description in RNAcentral is "bacterial SSU rRNA". It matches the Rfam family "Bacterial small subunit ribosomal RNA", at positions 355 to 776 of the family's 1533-position model. The record is from RNAcentral.